GAUGAACGCUGGCGGCGUGCCUAAUACAUGCAAGUCGAGCGAAGCGGGGACGGGUGAGUAACACGUGGAUAACCUCCUAUAAGACUGGGAGAACUUCGGGCAACCGGAGCUAAACCGGAUAAUUAUAGAUGGAUCCGACAUGCAUUAGCUAGUUGGUAAGGUAACGGCUUACCAAGGCAACGAUGCAUAGCCGACCUGAGUGGGUGGUCUGCCACACUGUAACUGAGACACGGUCCAGACUCCUCCGGGCGGCAGCAGUAGGGAGUCUUCUGCAAUGGGCCGAAGCCUAGUGUAGCAACGCCGCGUGUGUGAUGAAGGUCUGCGGAUCGUAAAACUCUGGUACUAGUGAAGCGGUACCUAAUCAGAAAGCUACGGCGAACUACGUGCCAGCAGCCGCGGUAAUAC
RNAcentral lists this ribosomal RNA (405 nucleotides) under uncultured bacterium. RNAcentral's name for it is "partial 16S ribosomal RNA". It matches the Rfam family "Bacterial small subunit ribosomal RNA", at positions 28 to 526 of the family's 1533-position model. The record is from RNAcentral.